RNAcentral lists this ribosomal RNA (233 nucleotides) under uncultured bacterium. Its description in RNAcentral is "partial 16S ribosomal RNA". It matches the Rfam family "Bacterial small subunit ribosomal RNA", at positions 15 to 225 of the family's 1533-position model. The record is from RNAcentral.
GAUCCUGGCUCAGGACGAACGCUGGCGGCGUGCUUAACACAUGCAAGUCGAACGAAGAGCGACGGAAGCUUGCUUCUAUCAAUCUUAGUGGCGAACGGGUGAGUAACGCGUAAUCAACCUGCCCUUCAGAGGGGGACAACAGUUGGAAACGACUGCUAAUACCGCAUACGAUCUAAUCUCGGCAUCGAGGAUAGAUGAAAGGUGGCCUCUACAUGUAAGCUAUCACUGAAGGG